AGGUUACAGAACAUGAACAUUAAAUCCUAUAGGCAUGCUUUCUAUGUGAUUUGUAGAAUAGUUAAACGUUAACCCUAUAGAAAUAGUCUCUAGGUGAUUCUGAAUCAGAAAUAUUAAACACACCUAUAGGCAGAACUCUAGUAAGUAAAAUGAAAGUCAUAGAGCAUGAUAUCUACCCUUACUAGUGCAACAAAGUAAAACCCCUCCCACACCCUAUGCUAUAUUUCCCAAGUUCUUUAAAAUUUAUUACAAACUAGAAGAGAAAGAUAUAAAAUACAUCAAAGACUACAAUCACAUCUAAUGUGCCUAAGUUAGGCUAAAUGCCUAACAAUAUGUGAUUAACCAGUUCCGGAGUCCAGAUUUCCAAAGCCUUCUCUUUAUCCAAAGUGUUUCAAAGUUCCAAGGAAUCUCAAGGAUUCCUGGCAUUGCUUACACUCAAGAUAUCAUUUAGAAUUAGAAUAGUGCAGUGUGGAAGAGCUAGCCCUCAGACAUCCAAGUUUAGAGGGAGCUCAGGGGUCCCAAAGCAUGGCUUGCAAGAGAGGGGCAGAACUUACAGCUAAAAGUAAGUGCAAAGUGCAAAAGGAAAUGGGGAUCCAUAACAAGUGGUGUUCAUGCCCAGCCACAAGUGUAGGCUGGCACACCCCUGACCACUUGUUUGGUAAAAAAAGUCAGGAGC
This 676-nucleotide long non-coding RNA is filed under the name Nicotiana benthamiana. RNAcentral describes it as "long non-coding RNA (NBEN_LNC006343)". The record is from RNAcentral. Lineage: Eukaryota; Viridiplantae; Streptophyta; Magnoliopsida; Solanales; Solanaceae.